RNAcentral lists this ribosomal RNA (1658 nucleotides) under uncultured bacterium. RNAcentral's name for it is "bacterial SSU rRNA". It matches the Rfam family "Bacterial small subunit ribosomal RNA". The record is from RNAcentral.
AGAGUUUGAUCCUGGCUCAGAGUGAACGCUGGCGGCGUGCCUAACACAUGCAAGUCGAACGAUGAUGGAGGAGCUUGCUCUUCCUGAUUAGUGGCGCACGGGUGAGUAAUGCAUAGAUAAUGUGCCCCUUAGUUCGGGAUAGCCACUGGAAACGGUGAUUAAUACCGGAUACUCCUUCUUAUCAUAAGGUAAGUCGGGAAAGUUUUUCGCUAAGGGAUCAGUCUAUGUUCCAUCAGCUAGUUGGUGAGGUAAUGGCUCACCAAGGCAAUGACGGAUAUCUGGUUUGAGAGGAUGAUCAGACACACUGGAACUGAGACACGGUCCAGACUCCUACGGGAGGCAGUAGUGAGGAAUAUUGCACAAUGGAGGAAACUCUGAUGCAGCAACGCCGCGUGGAGGAUGACGCAUUUCGGUGUGUAAACUCCUUUUAUUAGGGAAGAUUAUGACGGUACCUAAUGAAUAAGCACCGGCUAACUCCGUGCCAGCAGCCGCGGUAAUACGGAGGGUGCAAGCGUUACUCGGAAUCACUGGGCGUAAAGGGUGCGUAGGCUGGCUUUUAAGUCAGACGUGAAAUCCAAUGGCUUAACCAUUGAACUGCGUUUGAAACUGAGAGCCUAGAGUUCAGAAGGGGCAGAUGGAAUUAGUGGUGUAGGGGUAAAAUCCGUAGAUAUCACUAGGAAUAUCAAAAGCGAAGGCGAUCUGCUGGGAUGAUACUGACGCUGAGGCACGAAAGCGUGGGGAGCAAACAGGAUUAGAUACCCUGGUAGUGCACGCCCUAAACGAUGAAUGCUAGUCGUCGGGGAGCUCGUCUCUUCGGUGAUGCACUUAACAGAUUAAGCAUUCCGCCUGGGGGAGUACGGUCGCAAGAUUAAAACUCCAAGGAAUUAGACGGGGACCCGCACAAGUGGUGGAGCAUGUGGUUUAAUUCGAAGAUACACGAAGAACCCUUACCUGGCCUUGACAUGGUAGGAACCCUUCGCAAGGAGGAGGAAGGUGAGGACGACGUCAAGUCAUCAUGGCCCUUACGGCCAGGGCUACACACGUGCUACAAUGGGGCGUACAGAGAGCUGCAAUACCGCGAGGUGGAGCCAAUCUCUUAAAGCGUCUCUCAGUUCGGAUUGUUCUCUGCAACUCGAGAACAUGAAGCUGGAAUCACUAGUAAUCGCAGAUCAGCUAUGCUGCGGUGAAUACGUCCCCGGGUCUUGUACUCACCGCCCGUCACACCAUGGGAGUUGAUUUCACCCGAAAUCGGGAUGCCAAACUGGCUACCGCUUACGGUGGAAUUAGCGACUGGGGUGCACUCUAACGAGACUGCCUUCGCAAGGAGGAGGAAGGUGAGGACGACGUCAAGUCAUCAUGGCCCUUACGGCCAGGGCUACACACGUGCUACAAUGGGGCGUACAGAGAGCUGCAAUACCGCGAGGUGGAGCCAAUCUCUUAAAGCGUCUCUCAGUUCGGAUUGUUCUCUGCAACUCGAGAACAUGAAGCUGGAAUCACUAGUAAUCGCAGAUCAGCUAUGCUGCGGUGAAUACGUCCCCGGGUCUUGUACUCACCGCCCGUCACACCAUGGGAGUUGAUUUCACCCGAAAUCGGGAUGCCAAACUGGCUACCGCUUACGGUGGAAUUAGCGACUGGGGUGAAGUCGUAACAAGGUAACC